Molecule: ribosomal RNA, 429 nt
Filed under: Fusobacteriota bacterium
Lineage: Bacteria; Fusobacteriati; Fusobacteriota
Description: Fusobacteria bacterium partial 16S ribosomal RNA
Rfam family: Bacterial small subunit ribosomal RNA
Source: RNAcentral
UGGGGAAUAUUGCGCAAUGGGCGAAAGCCUGACGCAGCGACGCCGCGUGAGGGAUGAAGGUUUUCGGAUCGUAAACCUCUGUCAGAAGGGAAGAAACCGCACUGUGCUAAUCAGCAGUGCCUUGACGGUACCUUCAAAGGAAGCACCGGCUAACUCCGUGCCAGCAGCCGCGGUAAUACGGAGGGUGCAAGCGUUAAUCGGAAUUACUGGGCGUAAAGCGCACGUAGGCUGCUUUGUAAGUCAGGGGUGAAAUCCCACGGCUCAACCGUGGAACUGCCUUUGAUACUGCUUAGCUUGAAUCCGGGAGAGGGUGGCGGAAUUCCAGGUGUAGGAAUGAAAUCCGUAGAUAUCUGGAGGAACAUCAGUGGCGAAGGCGGCCACCUGGACCGGUAUUGACGCUGAGGUGCGAAAGCGUGGGGAGCAAACAGG